Molecule: ribosomal RNA, 401 nt
Filed under: Wolbachia endosymbiont of Canis lupus familiaris
Lineage: Bacteria; Pseudomonadati; Pseudomonadota; Alphaproteobacteria; Rickettsiales; Anaplasmataceae
Description: bacterial SSU rRNA
Rfam family: Bacterial small subunit ribosomal RNA
Source: RNAcentral
GGGUUAUGUUAUAGCUUAUGCUAUAAUGUACCUAGUGGCAGACGGGUGAGUAAUAUAUAGGAAUCUACCUAGUAGUACGGAAUAAUUGCUGGAAACGGCAGCUAAUGCCGUAUACGCCCUAUGGGGGAAAGAUUUAUUGCUAUUAGAUGAGCCUAUAUUAGAUUAGCUAGUUGGUAAGGUAAUGGCUUACCAAGGCUAUGAUCUAUAGCUGGUCUGAGAGGAUGAUCAGCCACACUGGAACUGAGAUACGGUCCAGACUCCUACGGGAGGCAGCAGUGGGGAAUAUUGGACAAUGAGCGGAAGCUUGAUCCAGCUAUGCCGCGUGAGUGAAGAAGGCCCUUGGGUUGUAAAGCUCUUUCAGUGAGGAAGAUAAUGACGGUACUCACAGAAAAAGUCCCGGC